UUACAGCGGACAACCUAAUUAAAAGUGGAUGGAUGAGAAUAACAGCAUCUGUACUAAGUGGGAUAAAAGAAAAAACUGUGGAUCAUUUAUUCAUAUAAUGCGUAUUUAGUAAAUUUUUAGUGGUGACAACCUUGAAGGGGAUCCGGUUUAUAAAUUUGCAAGAUAAUGUGACUGUCGUUUAGGGAUAAUUGGAUGACAAGAUAUAUAACUCAGCCUACUCGUUUUAGGCUGACCGGAUUGACAGCAUAUUGUUGGAUUAUUUGAAAAAUCUGGUUCAAAAGAAACUCGUGAUAAAAUGUUCAUCCAUCAUAAAUAUUUUAUGUUAGGGUUAAUAAUAAUUCUUUAGUAUUGAGUGGGUGGUUGGUUUAAUAAUAUGAUCUAACAAGUAGAAAUAAUUAAAAGAAUAUAUCUAAUGAUAAAACUUAUGAAUACAAAAGACUUAUACUCAUAAAAAUAUAAUAGCCGAUUAUUAUUAUUAUUAUUAUUAUUAUAUAGAGAGAGAGAGAGAGAGAGAGAGAGAGGCUCCUAUGCUUUCGAAAGUACGAAAGCCUCUGUGCUUGUAAGUUGUUUUCGAUGAUGGAACAUUUAAUUCAGCGAUCGACUCUGUUAGACAUGAUCUACGCUAUUUGAACUAUUUAGAAACCAAAUUUUAUAAUUUUUUAACUUUAUUUGCCUAGUGAACGAUUAGGCUCAAAAUGAACAGCUGAAAGUAAAAAUCCCACAAAAAAUAGUGAUAAAAGAUUUAAAUUUCAAAUCGAAAGUAUUGUUCUUACUCUUGAUGUUAAGUGAAAUUUUCUAUUAAAGUUUCAUAUAAUUUGGAUUCUUUAUACCGUUGAACUUUCAAACGUGUCACAUUGUCCGUUAAAAUAGUCAUUUUUGAGACUCCUUGAUCGCUUGGUAAAUAAUGUCGAAAAAUUAUAAAAUUUGAUUUCUAAAUAGUUCUAAUAGCGUAAAUCAUGCCUAAUGAAGCCGAUCAUCGAAUCAGAUGCUCCAUCAUCAAAAAUAACUUAUAAAUACGAAAGCCUCCAUACUUUUCGAAAGUAUAAAAGACGUAUUAUAUAUAUA
This 1065-nucleotide long non-coding RNA is filed under the name Ananas comosus (pineapple). Its description in RNAcentral is "long non-coding RNA (ACOM_LNC027472)". The record is from RNAcentral. Lineage: Eukaryota; Viridiplantae; Streptophyta; Magnoliopsida; Poales; Bromeliaceae.